GGGUGUGUCGUAUAGGGGUUAGUACACUUCGUUGUGGCCGAAGAAACGCAAGUUCGAGUCUUGCCACGCCCA
Gaeumannomyces graminis is the source of this 72-nucleotide transfer RNA. It matches the Rfam family "tRNA". From Rfam's summary of the family: Transfer RNA (tRNA) molecules are approximately 80 nucleotides in length. Their secondary structure includes four short double-helical elements and three loops (D, anti-codon, and T loops). The record is from Rfam. NCBI's taxonomy places the organism in Eukaryota, Fungi, Ascomycota, Sordariomycetes, Magnaporthales, Magnaporthaceae.